Long non-coding RNA from Oncorhynchus tshawytscha (Chinook salmon), 1521 nucleotides. Lineage: Eukaryota; Metazoa; Chordata; Actinopteri; Salmoniformes; Salmonidae. The record is from Ensembl.
CCAGUCCCUGCCUCUGAAAAACAUCCCACAGCAUGAUGCUGCCACCACUGCACUUCACCGUAGGGAUGGUGCCAGGUUUCCUCCAGACAUGAUGCUGCCACCACUGCACUUCACCGUAGGGAUGGUGCCAGGUUUCCUCCAGACAUGAUGCUGCCACCACCAUGCUUCACCGUAGGGAUGGUUCCAGGUUUCCUCCAGACGUGAUGCUUGGCAUUAAAGUUAGAGUUCAAUCUUGGUUUCAUCAGACCAGAGAAUGUAGUUUCUCGUCACCUCCCUGACCAAGGCCCUGCUACCCAGAUUGCUCAGUUUGGGCAGGCGGCCAGCUCUAGGAAGAGUCUUGGUGGUUGCAAACGUCUCCCAUUUAAGAAUGAUGGAGGCAGUGUUCUUGGGGAUCUUCAAUGCUGCAUAAAUGUGUUGGUACCCUUCCCCAGAUCUGUUCCUCAACACAAUCCUGUCUCAGAGCUCUACGGACAAUUCCUUCGACCGCAUGUCUUAGUUUUUGCUCUGACAUCUACUGUGGGACCUUGUAUAGACCGGUGUGCGCCUUCCCAAAUCAUGUCCAAUCAAUUGAAUUUACCACAGGUGGACUUCAUCCUUGAUGUUUCUAAAAAUGGAUGGAAACAUGAUGCAAAGGGUCUGAAUACUAAGGUACUACAGAUGAUUAAUUUAUUAUAUAUUAGAAACAACCUGUUUUCGCUUUGUCAUUAUAGGGUAUUGUGUGUAGAUUGAGGGGGAAAACAAUAUUUAAUCAAUUUUAGAAGGCUGUAACGUAACAAUGUGGGAAGAGUCAAGGGAUCUGAAUACUUUCCGAAUGCAUUGUGUGAACAAAAUAAAUGACAUGGCCGGCUGCCCAUGAGCAUGUUUAAAAAAUUGCACAAUUGUUCUGUUGUCAAUCAUUUAUAUUGAGUAUUUGGCUGACCAGUGGGCAACGGCCAGACUCCCUACCAAGAUGCCCGCUUUUCUGGUUGGAUGAGCUGGCGCAAUUUCACAUUCAAAGUCAGUGAGACCCGCUCUGACUGUUCGGGCUCAGGCGCGAAGUGUUUAGGCCACUCAAGCUCACAAAAUGAGACCACCGAUGCAAUCUUCGCUCUCUCCCACUACUCUUCCAUCCCAUCCACUUCCUUCUGUGAAAUACUCCCUUCUGUCUCUUGACUGCCUUUUCAACCCGACUCUCCUCCCAUCCUUUGACACCAACUGUCCCCUUUCCUCCCGGGCAGCCCGAUCCUCCUCUCCAUGACUGAGUGACUCACUACGUGCUAACAGAACAGGGUUGCUAACAGAACAGGGUUGCUAACAGAACAGGGUUGCUAACAGAACAGGGUUGCUAACAGAACAGGGUUGCUAACAGAACAGGGUUGCUAACAGAACAGUUACACAGAACUGGAAGAAAACUAAACUUCCGGAGGACCUAUCAUCCUUCCACUCUCUCUACGUAGCAAGUACGCACGAUUACAUGUGAGUACUGUGUAGAAAGUGUGAAGAGGCUGUAAGAAAAGAAACUUGUAUUUUAUUACAUUUGUU